UUCCUGUAUGAUGAUACUUGCACACGUCUUACGCCUCGUGUCAAUGCCAGACCUGAAAAGGUGAACCCACUGGUGUUGCCUUGGCAAUAAGGGGAUGACCUGUUGGGGUUACCAACAGUCUGAAUGGAAA
Molecule: small nucleolar RNA, 130 nt
Organism: Astatotilapia calliptera (eastern happy)
Lineage: Eukaryota; Metazoa; Chordata; Actinopteri; Cichliformes; Cichlidae
Gene: SNORD22
Rfam family: Small nucleolar RNA SNORD22
About the family: U22 is a member of the C/D class of snoRNA which contain the C (UGAUGA) and D (CUGA) box motifs. U22 is encoded within the U22 snoRNA host gene (UHG) in mammals and has also been identified in Xenopus.
Source: Ensembl